AUUUCUUUGUUUGAGGAGAUUAGUGUAAGUCCAUUGAGUGGCAUCUGAUAUCCAGUUCUGUUUUAGGAGAUUGGUAUAAGCCCAGUGAUUGGCAUCCGAUAUCCGCUUUUGUUGACUUUCUUCUUUGUUUGCUUAUUAUUAUCCAUUGUUAUUCCAAAGGACACACUUGAAUCAUCUUCUAUAUGAUUUCAAGAAGUGAACCUUCU
RNAcentral lists this long non-coding RNA (206 nucleotides) under Lathyrus oleraceus (garden pea). Its description in RNAcentral is "Pisum sativum (pea) long non-coding RNA (PSAT_LNC008088)". The record is from RNAcentral. Lineage: Eukaryota; Viridiplantae; Streptophyta; Magnoliopsida; Fabales; Fabaceae.